UAUGGUAGAGGUGUGAAUCUUCACUAAUCUCCAGAUUUGAUUAGAUCACAAUUAUCAUGUCUUCGAUUCAAUAUCACGAUGCAUUACGAUGCAUCAAAUAUAUUUUUUUAUUAAAGCCAUAUAUAUAGGAUAUUUAAUUUAUAGCUUUUCAAGAUAAAAAAAACAAAACAUUUUGCAGGGCUCUAAUAUUAAAUAAAUUGGAUGAAUAAAACUGCAGCACUGAGCACAUGGUACUUCCUGAAUGUGCAAACCAUAACUGAAUAUGUAAACAGAAAUGUUGUUAUGUCUACAAUAAAUUGUAAACAGAAAUAAUCGAUUAUAGCCCAGUCGAUUAUUGAUGCAUCGUCCAUGUCCGCCAUGCGAUGCAUCGGUUAUUUGAUUAAUUUCAACACCUCUACUGCAACCCCAC
Molecule: long non-coding RNA, 409 nt
Organism: Etheostoma spectabile (orangethroat darter)
Lineage: Eukaryota; Metazoa; Chordata; Actinopteri; Perciformes; Percidae
Exons: 3
Source: RefSeq, a predicted model, not a curated record